Long non-coding RNA from Manduca sexta (tobacco hornworm), 1017 nucleotides. RefSeq lists it as uncharacterized. Lineage: Eukaryota; Metazoa; Arthropoda; Insecta; Lepidoptera; Sphingidae. The record is from RefSeq and is a predicted model, not a curated record. The transcript has 2 exons.
GAUCAAAAUCAGACCUUGUGUCAUGUCACAACUGACAUAACAAAUUGUUUCCUACGACAGUACAUAGUCAUACCCCUAUUCUCGUGUGUUUUAUUAAAUAUUCUAAUACUCAUUUUAUGUUUUACAGACUACUCUAUGCUCCCAAAUAAAUAGUGACAAAAUGAAUAUUAUCUACAUUACACGUAUAAUACAAUAGCUGGCAAAUAAAAUUAAGUGAAAACUUGUGAAGCAAGCAUUACUUAAUGUUUGUUUAACCUCAGAACUCAUCUUCGAAGCAAUUUGGAUUUAUUUUUGUAUAAAAUAACCUCCUACAACUAUCGAUUUAGGCGGAGAACGGGGCUUCAGAAAAACAGUUUUUUUAUAAGAGUUACUGUGCAAUGGUUGAGUGGCUGGAGUUUUGACAUCUUGGCUUUUGGGUACAAAAGAAGAUGGGGGUGUAAACUUUAAUGUGUCAGCAUAUGAUUUUGUCACCGGGGGAUGUAUCUUUGAUGCUUCUGAACAUGUCCACCGGUACACCACUUACGAGCCCCAUCCUGAUAAUGUUAAAAGAUGGAAUAAAAGCUUCAUAGCCUUUUUCCAAUAAGGCAUGAUGUUUUAAGAAAGAAUUUGCAGCUGAGUGACUUGUGAAUGCCAUUGAAAUUUUGUUGCGACCAAUACGCUUCAAACUGCCUUGUACUAUGUUUGGCACCUGGUUUUUAUGCAAAAAUCUGCCAAAGCAUAUUGGAUGCAAAUUAAGAUCCUGUGUUACCUCUCCUGUACUAGACCUAGCAACAUGAAUAAUAAAUGGUGAAGCAUCCAAUGCAGUAUAUUCUUUUCUAAUACUAUCAGAAAUAUUGGGAGGUAACUGGGAGGCCUGAGAUGGAAGAGCUUGUGUAUGCGGUGCUAUAAGAGGUGAUGGAUUUUCAGUGAUUUUUUCGUCACUGUCUUCACAACGACAUCCACUUCUACCUGAAUCUACAGCCAUUGCAUUUUUGCGUUUUUUUUUAUUACAUGUUUUGCACACCUUAUUUAAUCGUA